RNAcentral lists this ribosomal RNA (512 nucleotides) under uncultured Acidobacteriota bacterium. RNAcentral describes it as "bacterial SSU rRNA". It matches the Rfam family "Bacterial small subunit ribosomal RNA", at positions 13 to 529 of the family's 1533-position model. The record is from RNAcentral. Lineage: Bacteria; Pseudomonadati; Acidobacteriota.
UUGAUCCUGGCUCAGAAUCAACGCUGGCGGCGUGCCUAACACAUGCAAGUCGAGCGAGAAAAGGGGAGCAAUCCUCUGAGUAAAGCGGCGCACGGGUGAUUAACACGUGGGUAAUCUGCCCUGGAGUGGGGAAUAACACCGGGAAACCGUUGCUAAUACCGCAUACGAUAACGAGGUCUGCGGACUUUGUUAUGAAAGGUGCAAUUCGCUCUAGGAGGAGCCCGCGGCUGAUUAGCUAGUUGGCGAGGUUAUGGCUCACCAAGGCUUCGAUCAGUAUCCGGUCUGAGAGGACGGUCGGAUACACUGGAACUGAGACACGGUCCAGACUCCUACGGGAGGCAGCAGUGGGUAAUUUUUGGCAAUGGGGGAAACCCUGACCAAGCAACGCCGCGUGGGUGAUGAAGUAUCUCGGUACGUAAAACCCUUUCGACGGGGAAGAAAGCCGCAAGUCUUGACGGUACCCGUAGAAGAAGCCCCGGCUAACUCCGUGCCAGCAGCCUCGGUAAUAAGGU